GAUGAACGCUGGCGGCGUGCCUAAUGCAUGCAAGUCGAGCGAACAGACGAGGAGCUUGCUCCUCUGACGUUAGCGGCGGACGGGUGAGUAACACGUGGAUAACCUACCUAUAAGACUGGGAUAACUUCGGGAAACCGGAGCUAAUACCGGAUAAUAUAUUGAACCGCAUGGUUCAAUAGUGAAAGACGGUUUUGCUGUCACUUAUAGAUGGAUCCGCGCCGCAUUAGCUAGUUGGUAAGGUAACGGCUUACCAAGGCAACGAUGCGUAGCCGACCUGAGAGGGUGAUCGGCCACACUGGAACUGAGACACGGUCCAGACUCCUACGGGAGGCAGCAGUAGGGAAUCUUCCGCAAUGGGCGAAAGCCUGACGGAGCAACGCCGCGUGAGUGAUGAAGGUCUUCGGAUCGUAAAACUCUGUUAUUAGGGAAGAACAAAUGUGUAAGUAACUAUGCACGUCUUGACGGUACCUAAUCAGAAAACCACGGCUAACUACGU
RNAcentral lists this ribosomal RNA (496 nucleotides) under uncultured bacterium. Its description in RNAcentral is "partial 16S ribosomal RNA". It matches the Rfam family "Bacterial small subunit ribosomal RNA", at positions 28 to 506 of the family's 1533-position model. The record is from RNAcentral.